UGGGGAAUAUUGCACAAUGGGCGCAAGCCUGAUGCAGCAACGCCGCGUGAUCGAUGAAGGUCUUCGUAUCGUAAAGUUCUGUUGCAGGGGAAGAUAAUGACGGUACCCUGUGAGGAAGCCCCGGCUAACUACGUGCCAGCAGCCGCGGUAAUACGUAGGGGGCUAGCGUUAUCCGGAUUUACUGGGCGUAAAGGGUGCGUAGGUGGUCCUUCAAGUCGGUGGUUAAAGGCUACGGCUCAACCGUAGUAAGCCGCCGAAACUGGAGGACUUGGGUGCAGGAGAGGAAAGUGGAAUUCCCAGUGUAGCGGUGAAAUGCGUAGAUAUUGGGAGGAACACCAGUAGCGAAGGCGGCUUUCUGGACUGCAACUGACACUGAGGCAGGAAAGCGUGGGUAGCAAACAGG
RNAcentral lists this ribosomal RNA (403 nucleotides) under Verrucomicrobiota bacterium. RNAcentral's name for it is "Verrucomicrobia bacterium partial 16S ribosomal RNA". It matches the Rfam family "Bacterial small subunit ribosomal RNA", at positions 355 to 776 of the family's 1533-position model. Lineage: Bacteria; Pseudomonadati; Verrucomicrobiota. The record is from RNAcentral.